Molecule: ribosomal RNA, 245 nt
Filed under: uncultured bacterium
Lineage: Bacteria
Description: partial small subunit ribosomal RNA
Rfam family: Bacterial small subunit ribosomal RNA
Source: RNAcentral
AGAAUCAACGCUGGCGGCGUGCCUAACACAUGCAAGUCGCACGAGAAAGGGGCUUCGGCUCUGAGUAAAGUGGCGCACGGGUGAGUAACACGUGAAUAAUCUACCUCCGAGUGGGGAAUAACUGAGAGAAAUCUUAGCUAAUACUGCAUAACACUUACGAGUCAAAGCAGCAAUGCGCUUGGAGAGGAGUUCGCGGCCGAUUAGUUAGUUGGCGGGGUAAUGGCCCACCAAGACGAUGAUCGGUA